UUACGGUCAUAUCAGGUUGAAACACCAGUUUCUGUACGAUCACCGAUGUUAAGCAACGUUGAGACUGGUAAGUACCUAGAUGGGUGACCGCUUGGGAACGCCAAGUCCUGUAA
This is a non-coding RNA of Acanthosepion pharaonis, 113 nucleotides long. The record is from the annotation of a GenBank genome assembly. Lineage: Eukaryota; Metazoa; Mollusca; Cephalopoda; Sepiida; Sepiidae.